CUGGAAGUGAUGGACAGCUCUUUUCUUGACUCUCAAUGAUGCUGAAUGUAUUCAUACUGUCUGAUCCAG
This 69-nucleotide small nucleolar RNA is filed under the name Lepisosteus oculatus (spotted gar). Lineage: Eukaryota; Metazoa; Chordata; Actinopteri; Semionotiformes; Lepisosteidae. The record is from RNAcentral.